RNAcentral lists this ribosomal RNA (253 nucleotides) under uncultured bacterium. RNAcentral describes it as "partial 16S ribosomal RNA". It matches the Rfam family "Bacterial small subunit ribosomal RNA", at positions 524 to 776 of the family's 1533-position model. The record is from RNAcentral.
UACGUAGGGACCAAGCGUUGUUCGGAUUUACUGGGCGUAAAGGGCGCGUAGGCGGCAUGACAAGUCACUUGUGAAAUCUCCGGGCUUAACUCGGAACGGCCAAGUGAUACUGUUGUGCUAGAGUGCGGAAGGGGCUACUGGAAUUCCCGGUGUAGCGGUGAAAUGUGUAGAGAUCGGGAGGAACACCGGUGGCGAAGGCGGGUCUCUGGGCAUCUCCUGACGCUGAGGCGCGAAAGCGUGGGGAGCAAACGGG